CGUGAUCAUGGCACUUUUAACAGCGUCGAAAUAUCAGGAGUCUCAUAUCCCUGCUUCAAACGCGCAUCCAUAUUAGGAGAAACAACUUGUCAAUAUCCAUUGCUGAAGGAUUUCCCUAACAAAUAUGGAGUCGACGUGCCUUAUCUUCUGAAGCCGCCCAAAGGUUUCAUUGAGGAAAACACCCAAAGGCCCUGCAAAUGCCCACGGCUGUAUUGGCCUGUCUGUGGGAAGGAUGGACGAUUGUACGUCAACUACUGCGUGAGAAAAUGCGUGGGAGUGCCGGGACCUAAUGCGUUGUCUGUAAAAUGUCUGGAAAACUCUGCUAUUUUGGCCGUCGUACCAGCAUCUUGGGUAUAUCCGGAAGAGAAUAAAAACGCCAC
Pectinophora gossypiella (pink bollworm) is the source of this 380-nucleotide long non-coding RNA. RefSeq lists it as uncharacterized. The record is from RefSeq and is a predicted model, not a curated record. The transcript is spliced from 3 exons. Lineage: Eukaryota; Metazoa; Arthropoda; Insecta; Lepidoptera; Gelechiidae.